GCGCCGGAUCUCGUCUGAUCUCGGAAGCUAAG
This 32-nucleotide ribosomal RNA is filed under the name Sinocyclocheilus rhinocerous. The record is from RNAcentral. Lineage: Eukaryota; Metazoa; Chordata; Actinopteri; Cypriniformes; Cyprinidae.